This is a long non-coding RNA of Vitis riparia (riverbank grape), 198 nucleotides long. RefSeq lists it as uncharacterized. NCBI's taxonomy places the organism in Eukaryota, Viridiplantae, Streptophyta, Magnoliopsida, Vitales, Vitaceae. The record is from RefSeq and is a predicted model, not a curated record. The transcript is spliced from 3 exons.
UUGAAGAAAUUGCUUUCUAUUCUGCCUACUAUUUGGCCAAGCUAAUUUUGCUAUAUGAAAGGUGAAGCUGGAAUUUUUAAACGUCCUACUUGCAUAGACGAUAUCAUCUCUCUUAAUGCUGGUGAUGUUUGGAAGGGGAGCACCACUUAUAUAGGAAAGUUGAGUUCCACUUUAUUUGCUAAGAGACUUAUUGCCUUU